This is a long non-coding RNA of Agrilus planipennis (emerald ash borer), 942 nucleotides long. RefSeq lists it as uncharacterized. The record is from RefSeq and is a predicted model, not a curated record. The transcript is spliced from 5 exons. Lineage: Eukaryota; Metazoa; Arthropoda; Insecta; Coleoptera; Buprestidae.
UCGAUGCGUGUUUUUAUUGUAUUUAAAGUUUUAUUUAUUUAAUAGUAUUGUGAAUUAGUUUCGCUUCUUAAUUUUUUACAGAUCGAUGAUAAACGAGAGGCGGAGAGGACAUGGAAGUUCGUUUUGAUGCUAGCGUAAAAGAAGUUGUUCGAUGUGAUGUUCUUUCUAUAAAUAAUUUUGCAGAUAAUUGAGGAACAUUAUAAAAAUUCUGGAUGCCAUUAAGUUACAGACCGUUGGUUACAUCAGUCCUCCUUCGUUUCAGGGAGUAGCUGUACCUAUAGCCCAAGGGAAUGCACGAAAGUGAUUUUUUUUCCAUUGAGAAUGAAGACAGUAUGUUUUUGCUGAAGGAAGGAUUCAUGACAAUGAAUUGACUGCCCAACAUAUGAGAAGGGGGAGACUGCUGGAAAUUAAUUUGGAAACCGCUGAAACAAUAGAUUGCAGUGGCAUCUCUCCUGGCUUUGGCUUGCUCGUUACACAUUUAGACUUUAGAAUAUUAGUUUCUGCAAUUAAUUAAGUGUAAAUUGUCGUUAUCGUGAAUGUAUGGUAUUCUCACGAUUAUCUAUUGUCUGCAGUAUAAAUUGACGUUACGGCUACAGUACAUCUAUGAUUAUCCAAUAAAUGAGAGAAUUAAUGUUCAGCUUGGUCUUACUGAAACAACCAAAGUCUACAUGGGUGUGGUCUAUUGUGAACUGUUUUCUUGAUUUGCUGUUUUCGUCUUCGCCUUGCAACAUUAUGCAGUUAAUUUUCAACCGAAGAGAGAAGAGCAACUGGAGAUUUAUUUGAAUUCCACUGAAACAACAAAUUUUCUGCUAUGGAUUUGAAUUUGGUUUGCUCUUCACAUCUGCAAACUUUGAAAUGUUACAGUUACAGUUAAUGAAGGUGAGAAUACUUGAUAUAAUUAAUUUUAAUUGCUUUUUAUUAAUCUGUUUGCCACCGUAUCUG